UCCACUGUAUUGCUGACAUGUCCAAUAAAAAGAUUAUCAGAACGGAGUCCAAAAAGAGAAAAGUGGCUGCUUUCCUCGAAGUGGGGAAUGCAAAUGAAAAAGAUAGGGAAUCUUUAAGAUUUAAGAAAAUAGAAGGAGGUGAUAAAGAUUUUCUGCAAUGCCAGCCUGCAGUAUCUAUGGUAUCUGAAACAAAACGACAAAGAGGAAAGGAGCUUUUCUGCUGAAGGGAAUUUGAAAGACCAGUUUAAAAUGCAGAGGAGACAGGCAAAGAUACUGCAGAAGAAAACUGCCAUGGCAAGACCAAAGGUAUUCCUGACCCUCGAUAACCUGAAGUUGCCAGUACCAAGUGUUGAAGGACAAGUAUUUUCUCCGCUCUACAUGAUGGACCUCCAGCAUCUUUUGCUCUUCAGCAUCCAAGGGAA
Long non-coding RNA from Lineus longissimus, 422 nucleotides. RefSeq lists it as uncharacterized. The transcript has 3 exons. The record is from RefSeq and is a predicted model, not a curated record. NCBI's taxonomy places the organism in Eukaryota, Metazoa, Nemertea, Pilidiophora, Heteronemertea, Lineidae.